UGAUGAGUGAUGAUUAAGGCUGAAAGAUCAUUGGACCAGUUAUCCUAAUCAACACAAAAUAGCACCUUAUGCUUGAUGAUUUGAAGUUGUUGACAUUUUGGUAAGAAACAAACUGCAAUUGAAGGCAAAAUAACACCAUAAGGCUUGGAUAAAAAAAUAGACGUUGGAACACUUAGCCAAAAAUAUGGAUGCAACUUCAAGUGAGCCAACAAUAUUGAGAAGCAACGCACCACUCCCUUGAUGAUAUUUUUAAUGUGAUUCAUUGGUAUUUCCAGAUAAAAUGCAAAGCACCGCGUUGCUUAGUCCACGGGAUAUGCAAAGCGAUGUGUUAGAUAUCCCACAUAUGGCAAAUUUGCAAAUCAUUCUCCUACACGGCUAAGUCUUUAGCCUAUUAGUAUAAAUAGGACAUUAUGCAUGAUUUCUAAUCAUCUUGGAUGUCUUGCACAAUUUGGAAGGCUGAUGCAACUCGUCAGUUUUAGGUUUUA
Long non-coding RNA from Capsicum annuum, 485 nucleotides. RefSeq lists it as uncharacterized. The transcript has 2 exons. Lineage: Eukaryota; Viridiplantae; Streptophyta; Magnoliopsida; Solanales; Solanaceae. The record is from RefSeq and is a predicted model, not a curated record.